CCUACGGGUUGCUGCAGUGAGGAAUAUUGGUCAAUGGCCGGAAGUCUGAACCAGCCAAGCCGCGUGAAGGACGAAGGUGCCAAGCAUUGUAAACUUCUUUUGUCAAGGAACAAAAUCAGGCUCGAGAGCCUGACCGAGGGUACUUUAAGAAAACGCAUCGGCAAACCCCGUGCCAGCAGCCGCGGUAAUACGGAGGGUGCGCGCGUUCUCCGGAUUUAUGGGGUUUAAAGGGUGCGUAGGCGGACUGUUAAGUCAGCGGUAAAAGCCCGGGGUGCAACCCCGGCGAGCCGUUGAAACUGGCUGUCUUGAGAUGUCGAGAGGUAUGCGGAAUGCGCAGUGUAGCGGUGAAAUGCUUAGAUAUUGCGCAGAACUCCGAUUGCGAAGGCAGCAUACCGGCGGCGAUCUGACGCUGAGGCACGAAAGCGUGGGUAUCGAACAGGAUUAGAUACCCGUGUAGUC
Molecule: ribosomal RNA, 459 nt
Filed under: uncultured bacterium
Lineage: Bacteria
Description: partial 16S ribosomal RNA
Rfam family: Bacterial small subunit ribosomal RNA
Source: RNAcentral